GCCGCUGCGAGAAGGCGGCGCAGGUCGAAUACCAAGAGGUGGGGGCGAAGCUAUCCCACUUGCUUUCCAAACUGAACCCUGCUGCCGAGGAGUCUCUCUCUCUCUCUCUCUUCACUUCCAUGGGACGGCAAAAAGGCGGCGGCACCAAAGCUGAAGCUGACGGCCAGAAGAGUCAUGGCCUCGCCCUGGGCACCGCCUGCGUCGAGGGAGACAGAAUGGGGGUGGACGGCGAGGAGAUGGAGGAGAAGGCCGAGAGCUCCAAUCUCGACGACUCGCCGUUGAUUGGCGCGGACAACACCAGCGCCGACUACUACUUCGUUCCUAUCCCCAUUUCGGUAUCCAUGAAGUUUUUAUUCAUUUCUGAUUCAUGAGCUACUACAGGUUGCCAUCAUGUAUGUGAUGCUGGGGAUGUUCUCAAAUGGCUGACGUGGCAAAAGAAAUAGUUAGAACAAAUGGAUAUUCUGACGUUAUAACUGUGCUAAAAGGGAAAGUUGAAGACAUUGAGCUUCCAGUGGCUCAUGUAGAUGUUAUCAUGUCUGAAUGGAUGGGCUAUUUCCUGUUGUUUGAGAACAUGCUAAACACAGUUCUUUAUGCACUCGAUAAAUGGCUUGGACCACUGGGACUCCAUCAAUGUCAUCCUCUAUUGGCUGCUCCAAAUUAUGUUUUGCCUUAUGAAGAUCAUCUCGUCCCCUUAUUUCCACUGGCUGUGAAUUAGCAUUGCACUGAGGUAGUUUGAUAUUAUUUGGAGUUUUUACUGAGGGUUUGUUUAAGUAAGUAUUCCCUUCAAGAAGUAACUGAGGUGAUGCAGCUAUCAACUUCUGAACCUGUUUCAGUAGAAUGUUAUGGACAGCGCAAGAAGAUAGAGAGCCAAUGAACAUAAUUAGCUGAGCUGAGCUGAGCUGUUGAAACUAACCUCUAUCAAUCUGUGAAGCUCAAACACUUGACGAAGUAAACAAUGAUUUCAUAUUUAUGAAUGUGGGCUAAUGUGAAGUCGGAAUGUUUGUAAUCCAUGCUUGUACCUGUUCACAUCAAUUUUCUCGCAAGCUUAACAAGGCAUUUAAUCUAUUUUGUACAUGCCCAAGAUCAAAGGUUACACACUGGAAACAAA
Zingiber officinale is the source of this 1108-nucleotide RNA transcript. It is a transcript of the gene named probable protein arginine N-methyltransferase 1, with no coding region annotated. The transcript has 5 exons. The record is from RefSeq and is a predicted model, not a curated record. NCBI's taxonomy places the organism in Eukaryota, Viridiplantae, Streptophyta, Magnoliopsida, Zingiberales, Zingiberaceae.